Transfer RNA from Nadsonia fulvescens var. elongata DSM 6958, 103 nucleotides. It matches the Rfam family "tRNA". Rfam says of the family: Transfer RNA (tRNA) molecules are approximately 80 nucleotides in length. NCBI's taxonomy places the organism in Eukaryota, Fungi, Ascomycota, Dipodascomycetes, Dipodascales. The record is from Rfam.
GGUUUAGUAGUGUAGUGGUUAUCACGUCUCAUUUACAUUUGUGUUACUUAUGGUAUCAUAAUGUGAUCUGAGGAGGUCUCGAGUUCAAUCCUCGGCUGAAUCA